AGGAUAAACGCUGGCGGCGUGCAUGAGACAUGCAAGUCGAACGGACGAUCAGGGCUUGCUCUGAUCGUUAGUGGCGGACGGCUGAGUAACGCGUAGGUGACCUGCCCCGAAGUGGGGAAUAACUGCCCGAAAGGGUGGCUAAUACCGCAUGUGGUGGUGUGUUCAUUCACACCAGUAAAGCCGCAAGGCGCUUCGGGAGGGGCCUGCGUCCGAUUAGCUCGUUGGUGGGUAACGGCUCACCAAGGCGACGAUCGGUAGGUGGUCUGAGAGGACGAUCACCCAGACUGGGACUGAGACACGGCCCAGACUCCUACGGGAGGCAGCAGUCGGGAAUUUUGCGCAAUGGACCGAAAGUCUGACGCAGCAACGCCGCGUGAGGGAUGAAGGCCUUCGGGUUGUAAACCUCUUUUAUCAGGGAAGAUAAUGACGGUACCUGAUGAAUAAGUCACGGCUAACUACGCGCCAGCAGCCGCGGU
This 476-nucleotide ribosomal RNA is filed under the name uncultured bacterium. Its description in RNAcentral is "SSU rRNA". It matches the Rfam family "Bacterial small subunit ribosomal RNA", at positions 26 to 521 of the family's 1533-position model. The record is from RNAcentral.